Molecule: ribosomal RNA, 1542 nt
Filed under: Triticum aestivum (bread wheat)
Lineage: Eukaryota; Viridiplantae; Streptophyta; Magnoliopsida; Poales; Poaceae
Description: partial small subunit ribosomal RNA
Source: RNAcentral
AUGGGGCCUCUCAAAUCUCCCUUCUUGUCCCCCUCUGGCCCCAGGCCAACUUCCCCUGCAAGCAGAAGGCCACCGCCGCCCGGCCAUCGUCAUCACCGUCUGCCGCCGCCCCCUCCGCUGCCGCCUCCGCCCCCGCUCCCUCUGCCGCCGCCGCCACCCCUUCCCUCGUCUUCCCUGCCAUUGCCGCCUCCAUGCCCCCCAGCCGAUGCCCUCCAGAUGCCGCCGUCACCUCCUCUGCCCCCGCCGCCGCCGCUACCCCCCGUCACCUCUCAUCUGUCCCGUCUCUCGUCGUCUCCGCCAUUGCCGCCUCCACGGCGUACCCUCCGGAAGCCGGCGCGCCGUCGGACUCCGCCGGUGGGGGGAGCCUCCUCGGCCUCCGGCCUCCCCACCAUCGUGCUGGCCCUCGCUUGUACUGCCCCUGCCAAGCGGGCGAGAGAGGGGCAUUCUGUCGAACAACUGGCGCCCGCGCGUGGGUCUCCGAAGACCCUGCCCGCCUGCGACACCGCGCCCGGUGAGGAGCUCGCCGGCGUCCCUCUGGAGCUGCUCCCGCCCAAGAAGAGGCUCGUGCGGUGCCUCCCAUACGAGGCGGCCUCUACGAUCCAGGAGAUCGCCAGCCACGGCCGCGGCGACGGGUUCGGGGAUCGGCCCGCCUCUCCCACCGUGGAAGGCGACGGCAACGCCGACGGGUUCGGGAAUCGGCCCGUCUCUCCCACCGUGGAAGGCGACGGCAACGGCGACUGGUUCGGGAAUCGGUCCGUCUCUCCCACCGUCGACGGCGACGGCGACGGCGAGGGGUUCGGGAAUCGGCCCGUCUCUCUUACCGAGGAAGGCGAGUGGGACGGCCACAGCGACGGCGAGGUGUUCGGGAAUCGGCCCGUCCCUCUCGCCGUGGACAGCGACGGCGGCGGCAUCCACGGGGAGGAGCCUCAGGUCUACCGGGACGACGACGGACUGCGCGCCGAGCUUAACCGCCUCCACGUCCCCCGGCCGUCGCUGGUGCUGACGAAGCGGCUGACCCUCUCGGACCGCAGCCGCGAGAAGGCCCGCCUCGUCCUCCCGGACGGCCUGGUGAGGGCCUCGCCGCUGCUCAGCACGAUGACGCCGGGGGAGCGGCACAUGGUCCUGGCCGGCGGCGGGCUGGCUGUGCCGUCGUUCGACCGCCUGGGCCGACCGUACCACAUGAUGCUGAAGCGCGACCGCCUCGCCCGCACGUACCGCCUGACGGGCGAGUGGUCCCUGUUCCUGUCGCGGCACGGCGGCAUGCGUGACGGGGACGCGGUGGAGGUGUUCGCCUUCCGGCCGCCCGGAUGGCAGGCGCGCCUGGGCAGGUCCGGCCAGGGCGGGCUCGGCAUGGCGCUGCUCCACUGCCGGCGCUCGCGCGCGGCCCCGGCGCCGGCCAACGCGGCGGACUGGGACGGCUGGGGCUGCGACGCGGCAGACGACGGCCUGGUGCUUCCCGACGAAAACCCUGCGAGGCGGGAAAGGCUGGCCCGGCGGCGAGGUCGACCUGUGAAUCACAACGGCCCCUUUCGUCCUUCCUAG